RNAcentral lists this small RNA (67 nucleotides) under Pontibacillus yanchengensis Y32. RNAcentral's name for it is "Bacillaceae-1 RNA". It matches the Rfam family "Bacillaceae-1 RNA". Lineage: Bacteria; Bacillati; Bacillota; Bacilli; Caryophanales; Bacillaceae. The record is from Rfam by way of RNAcentral.
AUCAGGUGAAGUUCGAUUAAGGUCGCUACAUCACGUAGCAACAUCGGACCAAUCCACGUCCUGUAGG